AAUAAGAGAAACAUUAAAGUCGAAAAUAAACUGACAACGCCAUGGCUUGAAAAGAAAGAAAAAAAUCGUUAUUUUCGAAAGCAACGUCAUUGACGAUAAACUAUGACAUCAUCGUUGUCCUACUUCACUCGACUGAGAAAAACAAAUUUAAAGAAGAAAUGCAAUAAAGACUCAUUAUGUAAAUCAAAGAUAAGUUAUGUGGCUUCUUCUAUGGUCCUCAGUAAGAAUAUGUUUCCAACCCAGAACUACUGUUAGACAGUCUAAUGAAGUAGAAAAUCGCCAUGAUGAACAAUUAGGAAGAUACAAGUAAGCCAAAAUGUGAAUUGUGGAAUUGUUGUGAAUUUAUACUUGAUGAAAUCAAUUAAGAUUGUUAAGUACAUUGUUUCCAGUCCGAGGCCAAUCAUUGGCCUAGUAUCCAUGUAUAGAUAUUUGAAUGGCUCUCAUAUCAAAUGACAAAACCAUAACACAUGAUCUAAUUGUUAUUUUUAUUUUAUAGUAAAUUGUAAAAUAUUUCACCAUAUUAACAGUUGAGAAUUAUAUUUACUAGAUUUAUAAAAAAUUAAAAAAAUACUUUCCUAUUGAUAGUGAAGUGAGGUAUUAGUAAUUGAAAUGUUAUCACAUAAACGUUAUUAGAAAUACUGUCAACAAUAAAUCAAGCACAUUCGUUUUUUCACCUAUUAAUCAAAAUUGAUUAAAUGUUCUAGUAAUAAGUUUUGUUGUAUAUCAAAUAAAUUGAUUAUGAAUACGAAUAACCUACAAACA
RNAcentral lists this long non-coding RNA (762 nucleotides) under Mytilus galloprovincialis (Mediterranean mussel). Lineage: Eukaryota; Metazoa; Mollusca; Bivalvia; Mytilida; Mytilidae. The record is from RNAcentral.